Small nuclear RNA from Trichechus manatus latirostris (Florida manatee), 128 nucleotides. RefSeq annotates it as U11 spliceosomal RNA. NCBI's taxonomy places the organism in Eukaryota, Metazoa, Chordata, Mammalia, Sirenia, Trichechidae. The transcript has a single exon. The record is from RefSeq and is a predicted model, not a curated record.
AAAUAGGGCUUCUGUCCUGAAGUGGCACAUGUAAGGCACCUCUACUGCUCUACACGCAGAAUCAACAUCAAGAUAUUUCAGAAGUGUAAUUUUUGUUUCCAGGGCAGCUGGUUUCAUUGGUCUCCCCU